Molecule: ribosomal RNA, 832 nt
Filed under: uncultured beta proteobacterium
Lineage: Bacteria; Pseudomonadati; Pseudomonadota; Betaproteobacteria
Description: bacterial SSU rRNA
Rfam family: Bacterial small subunit ribosomal RNA
Source: RNAcentral
AGUCGAGCGGUACAGAGAGAAGCUUGCUUCUUUGCUGACGAGCGGCGGACGGGUGAGUAACGCGUAGGAAUCUACCUAUUAGUGGGGGAUAAGCCAGAGAAAUUUGGUCUAAUACCGCAUACGCCCUACGGGGGAAAGGAGGGGCUCUUCGGACCUUUCGCUAUUAGAUGAGCCUGCGUAAGAUUAGCUAGUUGGUGAGGUAAGAGCUCACCAAGCCGACGAUCUAUAGCUGGUCUGAGAGGACGACCAGCCACACUGGAACUGAGACACGGUCCAGACUCCUACGGGAGGCAGCAGUGGGGAAUUUUGGACAAUGGGCGAAAGCCUGAUCCAGCAAUACCGCGUGCAGGAAGAAGGCCUUCGGGUUGUAAACUGCUUUUGUACGGAACGAAAAGGCUCUUUCUAAUAAAGAGGGCUCAUGACGGUACCGUAAGAAUAAGCACCGGCUAACUACGUGCCAGCAGCCGCGGUAAUACGUAGGGUGCAAGCGUUAAUCGGAAUUACUGGGCGUAAAGCGUGCGCAGGCGGUUUUGUAAGACAGGCGUGAAAUCCCCGGGCUCAACCUGGGAAUUGCGCUUGUGACUGCAAGGCUAGAGUACGGUAGAGGGGGGUAGAAUUCCGCGUGUAGCAGUGAAAUGCGUAGAUAUGCGGAGGAACACCGAUGGCGAAGGCAGCCCCCUGGACCUGUACUGACGCUCAUGCACGAAAGCGUGGGGAGCAAACAGGAUUAGAUACCCUGGUAGUCCACGCCCUAAACGAUGUCAACUGGUUGUUGGGAAUUUACUUUCUCAGUAACGAAGCUAACGCGUGAAGUUGACCGCCUGGGGAGUAC